RNAcentral lists this ribosomal RNA (433 nucleotides) under uncultured bacterium. RNAcentral's name for it is "partial 16S ribosomal RNA". It matches the Rfam family "Bacterial small subunit ribosomal RNA", at positions 29 to 507 of the family's 1533-position model. The record is from RNAcentral.
AGCGAACGCUGGCGGCAGGCCUAACACAUGCAAGUCGAACGAACUCUUCGGAGUUAGUGGCGGACGGGUGAGUAACACGUGGGAACGUGCCUUUUGGUUCGGAAUAACUCAGGGAAACUUGUGCUAAUACCGAAUGUGCCCUUCGGGGGAAAGAUUUAUCGCCAUUAGAGCGGCCCGCGUCUGAUUAGCUAGUUGGUGAGGUAACGGCUCACCAAGGCGACGAUCAGUAGCUGGUCUGAGAGGAUGACCAGCCACACUGGGACUGAGACACGGCCCAGACUCCUACGGGAGGCAGCAGUGGGGAAUCUUGCGCAAUGGGCGAAAGCCUGACGCAGCCAUGGCGCGUGAAUGAUGAAGGUCUUAGGAUUGUAAAAUUCUUUCACCGGGGACGAUAAUGACGGUACCCGGAGAAGAAGCCCCGGCUAACUUCGUG